RNAcentral lists this ribosomal RNA (587 nucleotides) under uncultured bacterium. Its description in RNAcentral is "bacterial SSU rRNA". It matches the Rfam family "Bacterial small subunit ribosomal RNA", at positions 337 to 916 of the family's 1533-position model. The record is from RNAcentral.
UCCUACGGGAGGCAGCAGUAGGGAAUCUUCGGCAAUGGACGAAAGUCUGACCGAGCAACGCCGCGUGAGUGAAGAAGGUUUUCGGAUCGUAAAACUCUGUUGGUAGAGAAGAACGUUGGUGAGAGUGGAAAGCUCAUCAAGUGACGGUAACUACCCAGAAAGGGACGGCUAACUACGUGCCAGCAGCCGCGGUAAUACGUAGGUCCCGAGCGUUGUCCGGAUUUAUUGGGCGUAAAGCGAGCGCAGGUGGUUUAUUAAGUCUGGUGUAAAAGGCAGUGGCUCAACCAUUGUAUGCAUUGGAAACUGGUAGACUUGAGUGCAGGAGAGGAGAGUGGAAUUCCAUGUGUAGCGGUGAAAUGCGUAGAUAUAUGGAGGAACACCGGUGGCGAAAGCGGCUCUCUGGCCUGUAACUGACACUGAGGCUCGAAAGCGUGGGGAGCAAACAGGAUUAGAUACCCCGGUAGUCCACGCCGUAAACGAUGAGUGCUAGAUGUAGGGAGCUAUAAGUUCUCUGUAUCGCAGCUAACGCAAUAAGCACUCCGCCUGGGGAGUACGACCGCAAGGUUGAAACUCAAAGGAAUUGACGG